Molecule: ribosomal RNA, 186 nt
Filed under: uncultured bacterium
Lineage: Bacteria
Description: partial 16S ribosomal RNA
Rfam family: Bacterial small subunit ribosomal RNA
Source: RNAcentral
GCCUGCAUGAAGUCGGAAUUGCUAGUAAUCGCGGAUCAGCAUGCCGCGGUGAAUACGUUCCCGGGCCUUGUACACACCGCCCGUCACACCAUGGGAGCCGGUAAUACCCGAAGUCAGUAGUCCAACCACGUGAGGACGCUGCCGAAGGUAGGAUUGGCGACUGGGGUGAAGUCGUAACAAGGUAUC